GGAAUAUUGCACAAUGGGCGAAAGCCUGAUGCAGCGACGCCGCGUGGGUGAUGAAGGCUUUCGGGUCGUAAAACCCUUUUCUGCGUGACGCGCCAAGGACGGUAGCGCAGGAAUAAGUCUCGGCUACCUACGUGCCAUCAGCCGCGGUAAGACGUAGGAGGCAAGCGUUAUCCGGAGUUACUGGGCGUAAAGCGCGUGUAGGCGGAUUGGUAAGUGGUUCGUGAAGUAUCCGGGCUAAACUCGGAGGGGACGAAUCAGACUGCUAGUCUGGAGGCGGGUAGAGGGGUGCGGAAUUCCGGGUGUAGCGGUGAAAUGUGUAGAUAUCCGGAGGAACACCAGAGGUGCAGACGGCGCCCUGGGCCCGACCUGACGCUGAGACGCGAAAGCUUGGGGAGCGAAC
Molecule: ribosomal RNA, 400 nt
Filed under: uncultured bacterium
Lineage: Bacteria
Description: bacterial SSU rRNA
Rfam family: Bacterial small subunit ribosomal RNA
Source: RNAcentral